This 443-nucleotide ribosomal RNA is filed under the name uncultured bacterium. RNAcentral describes it as "partial 16S ribosomal RNA". It matches the Rfam family "Bacterial small subunit ribosomal RNA", at positions 338 to 795 of the family's 1533-position model. The record is from RNAcentral.
CCUACGGGAGGCAGCAGUGGGGAAUAUUGGGCAAUGGAGGCAACUCUGACCCAGCAACGCCGCGUGAAUGAUGAAGGUCUUCGGAUUGUAAAGUUCUGUGAUGGGGGAUGAACACAAUGACGGUACCCCAAUAGCAAGCCACGGCUAACUACGUGCCAGCAGCCGCGGUAAUACGUAGGUGGCAAGCGUUAUCCGGAAUGAGUGGGGGUAAAGGGUGCGUAGGUGGUUUAGUAAGUUGGCGGUGUAAUUCCGGGGCUCAACCUCGGCGCUGCCGCCGAAACUAUUAGACUAGAGUGCAGGGGAGGUAAGUGGAAUUCCUAGUGUAGCGGUGGAAUGCGUAGAUAUUAGGAGGAACAUCAGGGGCGAAGGCGGCUUACUGGACUGUAACUGACACUGAGGCACGAAAGCGUGGGGAGCAAACAGGAUUAGAUACCCCAGUAGUC